This 282-nucleotide ribosomal RNA is filed under the name uncultured prokaryote. Its description in RNAcentral is "partial 16S ribosomal RNA". It matches the Rfam family "Bacterial small subunit ribosomal RNA", at positions 524 to 803 of the family's 1533-position model. The record is from RNAcentral.
GACGUAGGGGGCGAGCGUUGUCCGGAAUUACUGGGCGUAAAGAGCACGUAGGCGGGAACUUAAGUCAGGUGUGAAAGACCGAGGCUCAACCUCGGGUAUGCACUUGAAACUGGGUUUCUUGAGGGCAGGAGAGGAAAGCAGAAUUCCUGGUGUAGCGGUGAAAUGCGUAGAAAUCAGGAGGAAUACCAGUGGCGAAGGCGGCUUUCUGGACUGACCCUGACGCUGAGGUGCGAAAGCGUGGGUAGCAAACAGGAUUAGAUACCCCCGUAGUCCCUGAGCGGG